GGGAGUGAAAUAGAACCUGAAACCCUGCACUUACAAGCUGUGGAAGCACAUUUCUUGUGUGACCGCGUACUUUUUGUAGAACGGGCCAACGAGUUACGUUAAGUAGCAAGGUUAAGCACUUAAGGUGCGGAGCCGUAGCGAAAGCGAGUUUUAACUGAGCGUUCAGUUACUUGACGUAGACCCGAAACCGGGCGACCUACCCAUGAGCAGGAUGAAGCGAAAGUAAAAGUUCGUGGAGGUCCGAACCCACGAGCGUUGAAAAGCUCGGGGAUGACUUGUGGGUAGCGGUGAAAUUCCAAUCGAGCCCGGAGAUAGCUGGUUCUCCCCGAAAUAGCUUUAGGGCUAGCCUCAAGGUGAGAGAUACGGAGGUAGAGCACUGAAUGUCCUAGGGGGUAUUGCACCUA
RNAcentral lists this ribosomal RNA (404 nucleotides) under Clostridioides difficile. Its description in RNAcentral is "bacterial LSU rRNA". It matches the Rfam family "Bacterial large subunit ribosomal RNA", at positions 534 to 938 of the family's 2925-position model. Lineage: Bacteria; Bacillati; Bacillota; Clostridia; Peptostreptococcales; Peptostreptococcaceae. The record is from RNAcentral.